GGCAGCCGCAGAGCCGGGAACCACGAGACCCUGCAUGGCCGCCCUCUGCCCACUUGGCCCGGGGAUGCUACUGCACCGGGCAGAGUGCCAAGCGGUCAGUGCUUGUGGCAGAAGGACGGAAGAUGGCGUUAUGAGAAGUCGCAUGUUUCCUCUGCCGGCGGACUCCAAUCCUUUAUCCACGCAUACCUCGUGUCUCAGGUCAUGUGACGUAAAGGCAACGCAGCAGCACCGACUCCAGUACUGGGAUGCUGAUGUUCAACGUGCAAGCACUGCGGCAGAAGGUCCAGGGUCCCAGGUCCCAGCCUGUUUCAUAUUCAGUCCACAAACACUGGUUAAGGGCUCAUCCUAAAUCAGGUACUGUGGAAGAGCUAUCAAGACGAAAGGUAAGAUCCCUCUACCCUGGAAGACAAAGAACACAAAUCAGCUUGAUAAGGUUUACAAUCAUCCCCUUCAUUUGAACCAUUCUUGAUGAGACCCUCAGCAUUGUCAGUUUCAGAGGAGCUAGAAACUGGAGACACACUGAAGUAAAAUGCCAGAAAGAACCCGGACCAGAUGCCAAAGCUUUGCACCCAAGAGGAACACAAGGCUGAUACAGAGCUGAGGUCAGAUAGCCGUCAAACUGCUGGAGCUGGACGCCAGGACUGGCACGUGGGGGCAUGGGCAAGCCUGUGGAACAUCUCUGAUGUCGGAAGUGAAAGCGGUGCAGAGAGAGACACAGGAAAGAAACCUAAAGCUAGGCACGUGGGAGCUUUCCAUCGUGGGGAUUUUCUCCUAGACCUAGUGACCAGCCUCAGGGGAUAGUCCUCCGCUGGUCCUAAGGAUCCUGAAGGAAAGUUACUCGGCUCAAAAUAGCCUGGAGUUAAAACUCCCCUCUGGGUCCUCCCCACCAUUCUAUGCAAAACAAAGAACUCUCUAACCCGAAGGGAAAAAAAUGGACAUUGAGGUUGAUUACGCCCAGCUCCCAGCCAGUCCAACCUCUGGCCAAUCUCCAGAAUUCCUUGCCCUAGCCAUUUAAGAGAUAAUUACUCCGAACAACCUUGGAGAAGAACAGGCCCCCUUAAGACAGCAGAUUUCCACAUAUAUGCCUAUAUAUACUUACUCUUUUCUUGCGUAGCGCGGUAGCUCACUAAUCUGACUGCUGUCCCUUCUCGCCUCAUUAAAUGUGAUCUGUUCCUGUAAAAUGCUGGUCUCAUUCUUUUUCCGAACCUUGCCUUCUCUAACUCCCUCCCUCUACAGAUAGUAUCACCCGAUCAAGUAUCUAACUGUAGAGAUGGG
RNAcentral lists this long non-coding RNA (1275 nucleotides) under Capra hircus (goat). RNAcentral's name for it is "lncRNA (ENSCHIG00000001161.1)". The record is from RNAcentral. Lineage: Eukaryota; Metazoa; Chordata; Mammalia; Artiodactyla; Bovidae.